AGUGGAUCUGCGGUCUCCUGGAAACCGAGAAGGAAAACAGUCAGUUCUGCUCUCUUCCCCGGGCGGGGAGUGAGCGUAAUGCGGGAGCCCGCAGGCCGGAGCACACAGGUGAGCAGCACACAGAGAGGCUUCAGACCAACAUAGAAAACUAGAGAGAUGUUAAUAAUCAUCGAAACUAAAGAUGAGGCCUCCGACUUAUUGCUGUAGCUGAAAGAGCUGCUUUGGGAGAGAAUGAUGACUUUUGCCCGGAGAUGAAAUGUAACGUUCCAGUCUCCAAUGAAAAGGAAAGAUGUGGGUGCAAACAUUUUUGUAAACUCUUGAGAAGUUCAUAAUUCUCCUGUUGCAGGUGUGAUACCCACCAGACACAGCAGCCUGAGAAUGCAUCUGAAGAUACUACUUCCACUUGAGCCGGCUGGAUAGGCCUUCACAGUUUACCCAGAACUUUAUCUUCAGGGGCGUAUUUGCAUCAUCACUGAGGUGCUCCGGUUGAAGGAGCCCUGUGGUAUUUCCUCUGACAGCAAGGAAUGUAGUGCAAGAAUGUGAUUCCCUCUGCUCCCAUAACACCAGGUGCAUGUUGCAACCAUAAGCUAAAGACCAACAAAUAUCUGUUACGUAGGCAAGCAGGUAUUUGAGGUCACUGGCCAGUUUUUAAGGAAUUCGUGCAAUCCAGAACUUACUAUUUUUGGUUCACGCAUAGUAAUAUGCAUUUCUUUUUUAUUCAUUCAUUCAUUCAUUCAUUCAUUUAAUAUGUUUUUUUUAUUGGAGUUCGAUUUGCCAACAUAUAGUGUAACACCCAGUGCUUGUAAUAAGCAUUUCAAGAAAAAUGUAUUGAAGGAGCACGAAGAAGGAUGGAUGCAUAUGAUCAAGUGACUGUGACCUGGUCUCCUCGUAAGGAAGUGGCAGCCCUCACUACAACCUGCUUCUGGCACUAGCCCAGUCAUCUCCAAACUGGAUCAUAGCCAUAAAUCAGAGUCCACUUCGCUGAAUGCGGGUAGUCUUUAGAAUAGUCUUCUUGCUAUUCAUCUGGCUGCCAAAACACAUAAAUCACAUACACUUAAAGAAUUUCCCCUCCAUUCUUGAAUGUAUGUCUCUUUUGGGGUUUGAGAGCUUAACAGCUUCAUACCAGCAGGUCAUUCAAAAUGAUCUAUUUGGGGCAACCUGGGUGGCUCGGCUUUUAGCACCGCCUACAGCCCAGGGCAUGAUCCUAGACACCUGGGAUCGAGUCCCACAUCAGGAUCCCUGCAUGGAACCUGCUUCUCCCUCCGCCUGUGUCUCUGCCUCUGUGUG
Long non-coding RNA from Nyctereutes procyonoides (raccoon dog), 1287 nucleotides. RefSeq lists it as uncharacterized. The record is from RefSeq and is a predicted model, not a curated record. The transcript is spliced from 4 exons. NCBI's taxonomy places the organism in Eukaryota, Metazoa, Chordata, Mammalia, Carnivora, Canidae.